Drosophila mojavensis is the source of this 1354-nucleotide long non-coding RNA. RefSeq lists it as uncharacterized. The record is from RefSeq and is a predicted model, not a curated record. The transcript is spliced from 2 exons. Lineage: Eukaryota; Metazoa; Arthropoda; Insecta; Diptera; Drosophilidae.
AGAGAGAGAGAGAGAGAGAGAGAGAGAGAGAGAGAGAGAGAGAGAGAGAGAGAGAGAGAUAGACAGAGAGCAAAUCAAACACUUGACCAGGCGCUAAACUUGUUAACAAUUCAAAAAGUACAAAAUUGUCAUAAAACAAGAGAGAACAAUACGAAUAUUUUAAAGAAAAACAAAAUAUUUAUGUUUUUCCAAAUGCAAAUUUCAGCUUUUCAUUUUACUAACGAAGCAAACACGCGAUUAUGAUUAGGGGGUGAUGAAAUCAGCUCUAUGAAUGGGGGCAGAAAAUCACAGUUGAAUUUUAGGAAAAUGUGAUACGGAAACUUAAAUAUAUGCUUAAAAUACAUCCAAGCGAGGGAAAAAUCUUUUAAAGAAAGCUAAAAAUAUAUUAGCAAUAACGCCUCUAUCGGAGCAGCGCCACGUUCAAAAUUUGUCCAGGUUUCCGCACCAUAUAUAAACACUGAAAUGAUGAGAAUCUUGUAAACUGUGAAAUUAUUCCUGCAAAGAAGAUCUCUAUUAUUCUUAUUGUACUGAGCCACAGUAACGUUAGUUAAUCCCUAAUAUGACAUUAUUUAACACUAUUUACUCAAAUAUCAAUAUUAUUCGGAUAAUAGUUUUUUUCUCCCAAAUUUCUAUAAAUUGUCUAAUUUGUCUUUAGGUAAUUCCCUUUAGGUAAUUCCAACUAAACAAGAGUCAAAAUCUAUUCGAUUUUAUUUAGUGAAUGGAAUGCCUAAACCAAAUGAAAUAUAAAUAGAUUGCGAACUAAUCGAUGCAACUCGCAUUAGUGAUGAAAGAACAAAGCAAAUCUACUCCAAUGACAAAAGGCAACAUUUCUGUUCCAGUGGACGCGGUUUCCUAAACUACUCGAUGUUAACCAUGUGCCCAUAUAAAAUAAGGAAACAAAUAGUCUAAAUCCAACCCCCUCGACUGCCUUGCGUGCUGCACUGAAGCGCGGUGACCCUUGACACCCAAUGAGCAAAGCGGACGGGGAUGCACAAUUCCACAAAUUAAACCAACAAGUAGUUCCGUUUAAUAUGUAGUAUACUAUGCUACAUUUGAGUCAAAAGUUACCUGACCAUAAAACCUGACACGCAUUUAAAUGAUGGGGCAGCAACUCAAAAAAAAAAAAAAAAAAAGGUGGCAGACCAUCAGAAACAGCAGUUGCAACCCCCACAAAUCCAACUCCCAACCCCUCCCAUUCGGCAAGCUUUCUUUUAUUUAUGCCGUUUUGAAGAAGAUAGAAACACAUCAAAUUUGGUAACAAAUUACAUUUGAUGCAUGUAAUAAAAAUCUCGCACAGCUGCAGAGAUGAAACACGUUACAAAAAAUAUAGCAGAAAAUAGGCGUUCACACCGCA